UAGCUCAGUCAGUUGAGCAUGGCACUAACAGUGUUAAAGUCAUGGGUUCGAUUCCCAU
This 58-nucleotide transfer RNA is filed under the name Apaloderma vittatum (bar-tailed trogon). It matches the Rfam family "tRNA", at positions 8 to 63 of the family's 71-position model. Rfam says of the family: Transfer RNA (tRNA) molecules are approximately 80 nucleotides in length. Their secondary structure includes four short double-helical elements and three loops (D, anti-codon, and T loops). Further hydrogen bonds mediate the characteristic L-shaped molecular structure. tRNAs have two regions of fundamental functional importance: the anti-codon, which is responsible for specific mRNA codon recognition, and the 3' end, to which the tRNAs corresponding amino acid is attached (by aminoacyl-tRNA synthetases). tRNAs cope with the degeneracy of the genetic code in two manners: having more than one tRNA (with a specific anti-codon) for a particular amino acid; and 'wobble' base-pairing, i.e. permitting non-standard base-pairing at the 3rd anti-codon position. The record is from Rfam by way of RNAcentral. Lineage: Eukaryota; Metazoa; Chordata; Aves; Trogoniformes; Trogonidae.